CAGAGGGUAGUUUAAUUAAAAUUUUAAUUUUGGAGAUUAAUGAAGGGGUUUCUCUCCUCUGA
This 62-nucleotide transfer RNA is filed under the name Anaplecta sp. 5 ZQW-2020. Its description in RNAcentral is "tRNA-Pro". The record is from RNAcentral. Lineage: Eukaryota; Metazoa; Arthropoda; Insecta; Blattodea; Anaplectidae.